CCCCUGGUGGUCUAGUGGUUAGGAUUUGGUGCUUUCACUGCCAUGGCCUGGGUUCAAUUCCUAGUCAGAGAA
This 72-nucleotide transfer RNA is filed under the name Capra hircus (goat). It matches the Rfam family "tRNA". Rfam says of the family: Transfer RNA (tRNA) molecules are approximately 80 nucleotides in length. RNAcentral also lists the same sequence under 1 other name. The record is from Rfam by way of RNAcentral. Lineage: Eukaryota; Metazoa; Chordata; Mammalia; Artiodactyla; Bovidae.